This 526-nucleotide ribosomal RNA is filed under the name uncultured bacterium. RNAcentral describes it as "bacterial SSU rRNA". It matches the Rfam family "Bacterial small subunit ribosomal RNA", at positions 103 to 625 of the family's 1533-position model. The record is from RNAcentral.
CGGGUGAGUAACGCGUAUCCAACCUUCCCGCAACUGGGGAAUAACCUUGCGAAAGUAAGACUAAUACCCCAUGGUCUCCACGGAUGGCAUCUGAAGUGGAGUAAAGGUUUCGGCCGGUUGCGGAUGGGGAUGCGUUCGAUUAGCUUGACGGCGGGGUAACGGCCCACCGUGGCAUCGAUCGGUAGGGGUUCUGAGAGGAAGGUCCCCCACAUUGGAACUGAGACACGGUCCAAACUCCUACGGGAGGCAGCAGUGAGGAAUAUUGGUCAAUGGGCGGAAGCCUGAACCAGCCAAGUAGCGUGAAGGACGACUGCCCUAUGGGUUGUAAACUUCUUUUAUGCGGGGAUAAAGUUCGCCACGUGUGGCGUUUUGCAGGUACCGCAUGAAUAAGGACCGGCUAAUUCCGUGCCAGCAGCCGCGGUAAUACGGAAGGUCCAGGCGUUAUCCGGAUUCAUUGGGUUUAAAGGGAGCGUAGGCCGCCUUUUAAGCGUGUUGUGAAAUGUAGGGGCUCAACCCCUGCACUGCA